This 264-nucleotide ribosomal RNA is filed under the name uncultured bacterium. RNAcentral's name for it is "partial 16S ribosomal RNA". The record is from RNAcentral.
CUGCUGCCUCCCGUAGGAGUCUGGUCCGUGUCUCAGUACCAGUGUGGGGGACCUUCCUCUCAGAACCCCUACGCAUCGUCGCCUUGGUGGGCCGUUACCCCGCCAACUAGCUAAUGCGCCGCAUGCCCAUCCGUCUCCGAUAUUCUUUCAAAACCAGACGAUGCCGUCCAGCUUCAUACGGGGUAUUAGACGCCGUUUCCGACGAUUAUCCCCCUGAGACGGGCAGGUUGCAUACGUGUUACUCACCCGUGCGCCGGUUGCCGG